This 403-nucleotide ribosomal RNA is filed under the name Fusobacteriota bacterium. Its description in RNAcentral is "Fusobacteria bacterium partial 16S ribosomal RNA". It matches the Rfam family "Bacterial small subunit ribosomal RNA", at positions 355 to 776 of the family's 1533-position model. Lineage: Bacteria; Fusobacteriati; Fusobacteriota. The record is from RNAcentral.
UGGGGAAUCUUGCACAAUGGGGGAAACCCUGAUGCAGCGACGCCGCGUGAGCGAUGAAGGUUUUCGAAUCGUAAAGCUCUGUCCUAUGGGAAGAUAAUGACGGUACCAUGGGAGGAAGCCCCGGCUAACUACGUGCCAGCAGCCGCGGUAAUACGUAGGGGGCGAGCGUUGUCCGGAAUUACUGGGCGUAAAGCGCGCGCAGGCGGCUUCCUAAGUCCAUCUUAAAAGUGCGGGGCUUAACCCCGUGAUGGGAUGGAAACUGGGAAGCUGGAGUAUCGGAGAGGAAAGUGGAAUUCCUAGUGUAGCGGUGAAAUGCGUAGAUAUUAGGAAGAACACCGGUGGCGAAGGCGACUUUCUGGACGAAAACUGACGCUGAGGCGCGAAAGCGUGGGGAGCAAACAGG